GGUAAUUCUCAUUCCUGGGCUACCAUACGCUCUCAAAGGCAACGCAACCAACCUGGCCAUUUUCAAUGUAAAAAUAUUUGACCCAUAUAUUUGACCUUGUAACUUUCAAAAAUGCUAUAAAACCUGUACAUGGGGGGUACUGUUUUACUCGGGAGACAUCGCCGAACACAAAUAUUAGUGUUUAAAAACUGGAAAACGUAUCACAACAAUUAUAUCAUCAGUAAAACUGCUGUUUGUGUGUGAAAAAUGCAAAAAAAGUAACUUUCACUGACAAUAUCAUCGUUGUGAUAUGUUUU
Molecule: non-coding RNA, 296 nt
Organism: Pelobates cultripes (western spadefoot toad)
Lineage: Eukaryota; Metazoa; Chordata; Amphibia; Anura; Pelobatidae
Source: the annotation of a GenBank genome assembly